Molecule: ribosomal RNA, 375 nt
Filed under: Staphylococcus equorum
Lineage: Bacteria; Bacillati; Bacillota; Bacilli; Caryophanales; Staphylococcaceae
Description: bacterial SSU rRNA
Rfam family: Bacterial small subunit ribosomal RNA
Source: RNAcentral
AGGUUGCCAGCAUUUAGGUUGGGCAAUCAUAGGUUGACCUGCCGGUGACAAACCGGAGGAAGGUGGGGAUGACGUCAAAUCAUCAUGCCCCUUAUGAUUUGGGCUACACACGUGCUACAAUGGACAAUACAAAGGGCAGCUAAACCGCGAGGUCAUGCAAAUCCCAUAAAGUUGUUCUCAGUUCGGAUUGUAGUCUGCAACUCGACUACAUGAAGCUGGAAUCGCUAGUAAUCGUAGAUCAGCAUGCUACGGUGAAUACGUUCCCGGGUCUUGUACACACCGCCCGUCACACCACGAGAGUUUGUAACACCCGAAGCCGGUGGAGUAACCAUUUAUGGAGCUAGCCGUCGAAGGUGGGACAAAUGAUUGGGGUGC